RNAcentral lists this transfer RNA (58 nucleotides) under Diaphorina citri (Asian citrus psyllid). It matches the Rfam family "tRNA", at positions 8 to 63 of the family's 71-position model. Rfam says of the family: Transfer RNA (tRNA) molecules are approximately 80 nucleotides in length. Their secondary structure includes four short double-helical elements and three loops (D, anti-codon, and T loops). Further hydrogen bonds mediate the characteristic L-shaped molecular structure. tRNAs have two regions of fundamental functional importance: the anti-codon, which is responsible for specific mRNA codon recognition, and the 3' end, to which the tRNAs corresponding amino acid is attached (by aminoacyl-tRNA synthetases). tRNAs cope with the degeneracy of the genetic code in two manners: having more than one tRNA (with a specific anti-codon) for a particular amino acid; and 'wobble' base-pairing, i.e. permitting non-standard base-pairing at the 3rd anti-codon position. The record is from Rfam by way of RNAcentral. Lineage: Eukaryota; Metazoa; Arthropoda; Insecta; Hemiptera; Psyllidae.
UAGCUUAGUUGGUAAUGCGUCUGCCUUGUAAGCGCUAGGCCGCGGGUUCGAUUCCCGC